RNAcentral lists this ribosomal RNA (404 nucleotides) under uncultured bacterium. RNAcentral describes it as "bacterial SSU rRNA". It matches the Rfam family "Bacterial small subunit ribosomal RNA", at positions 355 to 776 of the family's 1533-position model. The record is from RNAcentral.
UGGGGAAUAUUGGACAAUGGGGGAAACCCUGAUCCAGCAAUGCCGCGUGAGUGAUGAAGGCCUUAGGGUUGUAAAGCUCUUUCAGAAGUGAAGAUGAUGACGGUAACUUCAGAAGAAGCUCCGGCUAACUCCGUGCCAGCAGCCGCGGUAAUACGGAGGGAGCUAGCGUUGUUCGGAAUUACUGGGCGUAAAGGGCGUGUAGGCUGUAUGUUUAGUCAGAGGUGAAAUCCCUAAGCUCAACUUAGGAACUGCCUUUGAUACUGACACACUAGAGAUCGAGAGAAGUUAGCGGAAUUCCAAGUGUAGAGGUGAAAUUCGUAGAUAUUUGGAAGAACACCUGUGGCGAAAGCGGCUAACUGGCUCGUUUCUGACGCUGAGACGCGAAAGCGUGGGUAGCAAACAGG